Molecule: small RNA, 28 nt
Filed under: Bombyx mori (domestic silkworm)
Lineage: Eukaryota; Metazoa; Arthropoda; Insecta; Lepidoptera; Bombycidae
Description: ovarian small RNA-15832
Source: RNAcentral
GAGCGGGCCUCAGGGUAAACCCCACUAC